This 364-nucleotide long non-coding RNA is filed under the name Triticum aestivum (bread wheat). RNAcentral describes it as "long non-coding RNA (TAES_LNC004970)". The record is from RNAcentral. Lineage: Eukaryota; Viridiplantae; Streptophyta; Magnoliopsida; Poales; Poaceae.
CUAUGCGAUGGCGUUGUCGAGCAGGAGAGUCGGCAGGCCACGCGGGCGACGCCUAGGGCGAGAAGAGAAGCUCCUCUCCCCGCAGCCCAGCCCGCACACGGAGCGAGCCCGGCGGCCAAAUCCGACGGGGACGAAGGAGACGCCCGGCGAGCCGCGACGACCGAGGCCGAGGAACCGGGCAGAUCCGAGUCGGGAGGCGCGCCCGCGAUCUGGCCGGCCCAGGCGCGGCGCCGGGGCGGAUCGGGACGGGGGGCUGGGGUUGCUUACCGGCGGCCGGACGGGGCGAGGGGCCGGCGCCUCCCUCCGGCGGUGCGAGAGGAGGGGAGGGGACGAGAAGCUUCAAGGAGGAAGUGGUGGAAGGAAG